UUCUGACUGCAUUACCGCUGCAAAAAAUGAAGAAGGUAUAACAUUAGUAUCAACUUCUCAGUAAGCAAAAUGUAGAAAAUAAGAAGGAAAGCAUACAUGAGGACAUUUUAAAUUUUGCUAUUUCAGGCAUUUAAAUAAAAAUAAACGAGCAGAAUCAUUCCUAGUCUAUAACUAUGAGAACUUACGGUUGGAAAGAUAAAAAAGUUCCACAAGAUAGCAUCUUGAAUGCAAAAAUCAUCCCAAGGAUAUGCUACAACUGGCAUAAUUUUGGUUCAAGGACAUUAAUAAUUUGACUUCCAAAAGCCCAUAAACAAAGCACAAUGAAAUUCCUCUGAAAUAUCAAAGGUCAAACAUUUCCAUGGACUUAGAAAUUAAAAGAAAAUGAACAACUGGUCCAGUUGCCAUCAAUCAUAUUCUUUGCCCAUUCAAGGUUCAAGCAUAUAAUGGAACUCCUAAUACAUAUCCACCCACAAAUGGAAUUCCAUGAUCUUCGCAACUCUCAUUGUCAAUGUUCUCCCCUCCUUCCUGUCUGUUUUUGCCAGGAUAUAUAUGGCUGAUUUGAAUACUCAUUGAGAAAAGGCACCAAUUUUCACUUGUGUGGGUUUGUGUCAGUAAGAUUUCAUCUUUUGCAUUUGAAUUAUGCUACAAAGACAAAGCCAAGACAACCCAGCCUCCAUACGUCCAUACAAAUGUACACCUAUAUAUGAAAUGUUUGAUAUUAUAUAGAAUUUUAGAAUCCAUCCCAUAUCCUUCCCCUUAAAUGAAAAUUAGUGUCCCCCAAGGAGACCAAAUGAAAGGAGUCACAAUCUCAUUAACAGAGACACAAAUGCAAACCCACAUGGGAAAAACAGUUAAAAAAGAAUCUAAAGAAGAGGAAAUUGACAUGGAAAGAAAAAAAAAAUCCCUAUAAAGACUAGAUUUAAAGCUUUAGUAGAACUGACUAGAUUUCAUAUGAAGGCCUUGCAAUGAUUCACCUUUGUCAAAAUGCAAGCAUGAUGCAAACCAAACUUGUUCGCAUCUCAAGAAGUAAGCCAUAUCAGACAUUUAUAAAAUUUUUUUGGCAUCUUUAAUAUGCAAGUGUUAAAAAAAACUUCAAUAAUUACUUCUGCAGAUUAAGCAAGGCAAAACAUCGAGAUUGACACAACCUGACAUCUGCAAUGCUCAGUACCUACGAACAACACGCACCUCCCAAGUUUGCUGGAUUUGCAG
This 1209-nucleotide unclassified non-coding RNA is filed under the name Hevea brasiliensis (rubber tree). Lineage: Eukaryota; Viridiplantae; Streptophyta; Magnoliopsida; Malpighiales; Euphorbiaceae. The record is from RNAcentral.